Molecule: long non-coding RNA, 4608 nt
Organism: Brassica napus (rape)
Lineage: Eukaryota; Viridiplantae; Streptophyta; Magnoliopsida; Brassicales; Brassicaceae
Exons: 7
Source: RefSeq, a predicted model, not a curated record
UAUCAAUCCUAACUCACACGGAUUUAAACCUCAAAGAAACAUUCAAUCAAUCAAAUAAAACAAUCUAUGCACACGUAAUUUAGGGUUUACAGAUUUUAGGGUUUCACUUUGAACAUUAUUUCAUUCGAUUCUGGGUUCUUAGAGUUUAGGUAUACCUUAAACCUUUGAUGGGUUGAAUGGACCACCAAGAGAAUGAGCUUACGUGGACUGGUACAAACUGGAACCUUACGCGGACUGGUCCAGUCCGCGAGUUAGCUUAGGUUGAGCUGAUCGGGAUCGUUGGUACGCGAGCUGGUACUUGCAGUCAAAGAACUCGUAGAUCUGGAACAGUUUGAUCACGGACUGGAACAGGCUGAUCGUCCAAUCUGAAAUAGUUGAGGCGUACUGAAACUUGCAGAGAUCAGUCCACAGAUCGAUCUUGUUGAGAUCAAUGGUCGAAUAUAGAUCAGGGUCAUGAUCAAAGAGAGGUAAUCGAUAGAGAUUAGGGUUUUAGCAAUGGAGAGAGAUUUAUGGUUUAUGGUCGAUAUUUUAGCUUAGGGUUUUAGAGAUCAAUCGUGCUGAUAACGUGUUGUGAAAGUAAUGGAAAAGUCUAUCUUUAUUCAUAACAUAGAUUCCUUAUAUAAGAGAUUACACCGUCAUAGAUAAAUGGAAAGAUUACAAAUCAUAAUCUCUUGGUUAUGAGCCAUACACAAUCCGGUUCAUAACGAACCAAAUUUAUUUGGGCUUUUAAGUUAAGGUAAUUAUUAAUUAAAUAUACUUGUAAAAUACGUGGGUUAAUUAGUGGGUUAUAGUAGAAUUUUCUGUAAUUAAUAAUAAGAGAGUUAGUGGGUUAGAGAUCAAAAGUGUGUCAAAACUAUAUUAAACGUGGUUCAAUCAUUCGUAUUACAGAAUGUGCAUAUAUAUUAAAAAAAAAAUUCUAAAUAAAAUGUAUGUCACCUGACAACCCAUUGACUAACAUAGGUCCGCCUCUGGUUUUAAUCACAUACUAGAUCCAGACCCGCGCUGUGCGCAGAAUAUUUUCUCAAGUCUUCGUUAGAGUUUUUAAAUUAGUUUAUACUAUAAUUGAAUAUAUGGUUUGUUAACCAUAUUUAUUUGGAUAUAAUAUAUUUUCUGUAUAUGUAUAGUAUUGAUGUGUGCGUUUAAAUAUAGCAUAUAGAUUAUACAUGUGUUCAUUUUAAACGUAUAAACAAUCAUACAAUGUAAUUGGUUUAUUUUGGUUAUUGGAUUGUAACAUCUAAUCAUAUAAGUGCAUAUAGUUAAGGAGUAAAUUUUUUUAAAGUAAAUUUUAAUUUACUUUAUAAAAAAUAUUAGAUUUAAAUUUUUAUAUUUUAUAACAACAACUUUCGCAAUAUCAUAUUUUUAUCUAUUAAUUAUGUGGUAGUACAAAUUAUGGUUUUAUUUAUGUAAUAUUUAAAACCUCAUGAGGCCCACAAAACAUUAAUUGAUUAAUUGGUAAGAUCCAUUAGUCUAUAAAUUAAAUGUGUUUAUGGACCAGGUCCAAUAUAAUCUAAAUUGAUUUGUCCAAAAGGCCAGAUAAUUGAGUCCAAUAACACAACAGAUUUUUUUCCGGGAAGUAACAAAAAAACGUAUCUAAAGUCAACAACUUUUAGCCAUUCUUUUGUCGGUGAAAAGAUAAGACACCAAUAUAUCUUCGUCUCCCUCUGCUCUUGUUCCAUGGAAUCGAUCCGCACGAUUUUACUAAUCUGACGACUCAAUUCUUUGAGAUUAAUUGCCACAGAUCAUUUCCAUCCUCAUCCAUGAGAUUUCCUAAGUCGAUAUCUGUAAGAUUUUAGCUGAGUCAUGACAAACGAAAAGGCUAUUUCAAAAGAAGCAAAACCUAAAUCAAUAACAGAAGCAAAAUUCAUCAAAGACAAUUGCGAAACAGGUAACAAUCAAGUAUUCUUAAAAGGACUUAAGAAGAGUUGUAGACAAACCUGCCUUAGCUUAUACAAAAGAUAAGUUGACAGCAAAUAUUUAUAUACUCACGUUUUAUCUGUUUGACUUUGAAAAGACUUGUAUUUCUUAUACAUUAGCUAAUUGACCUCUUUUAUAUAUGUUUCAGCCAGCUUCUUACAAAUCUCUUUCAGAGAGAGUUCUGUUAUAUAUGGAUGUAUUGAAGAAACAGAGAAAAAAAAAGAGAAUUUCAGAUAACAAAGGAUUUGACGCAGUUACUUGGGCUUGGAACCUUGAUGCAAAGUUCGACCGAAUAUCAUUCAGCAGUCUUGGAAAAACAGUACUCAAAGGAAAUGCGCAGUGAUAACAGGAACUAUGAAUUACCACGAAUUUAAAAGAGGACUCGCUGACAGUGGAAUUGCCUACGAUGGACAUCUUGAAUCUAUGACUCGUUGCUCUGUACUUCUUGGUAGCUGGGUGAAGAGUGAAAUUCUCGAGGAACCUCCAUUCACCAAUCUUAAAUUUCCUAACACGAGCAAAGAAGAGCCUCUUGCAGGAAGCUUGAAUAUCCAGUAUAAAAUCUUGCGAGGAAUAUAUUCAGUUUUCAAGUUUAAGUUGGCCGAGGUUUUUUGCUUGGAAGAAAAGUUAGUUUAGAUUUGAUCAAAUAUAUUUUUAAUACUGUUAUAAUAUUCGGACUAAUGAUUGUAUUAAGGAAAAUAUUGAAACCAAAUUAAGUUGUGAGAUAUUAUUUAGUUAUGGAAUGAACGUUAUUGUAGAUUUGAUCAAAUCUAUUGUUAAUAUUGUUAGAAUAUUCUAGAUGAUUAGAUAUACAUGGACGCUUUUAACGCGGGAUAAGAGAUACAUAACCAACAAUUAUUUUUAAUUUAAUUUGGAAUCGACAAUACCGGCAUAUUCGGAUUUCCAUAUAUUAUGGUGCUUUGCAUUUUAUUUGAAACUAUUAUAUAAAGUUAAGAUAUGAAAUCUAGAAUAACGUGUCUUCCAUACUUGAUUAAUAGGAAGCUUGAAUAUCCAGUAUAAAAUCUUGCGAGGAAUAUAUUCAGUUUUCAAGUUUAAGUUGGCCGAGGUUUUUUGCUUGGAAGAAAAGUUAGUUUAGAUUUGAUCAAAUAUAUUUUUAAUACUGUUAUAAUAUUCGGACUAAUGAUUGUAUUAAGGAAAAUAUUGAAACCAAAUUAAGUUGUGAGAUAUUAUUUAGUUUGGAAUGAACGUUAUUGUAGAUUUGAUCAAAUCUAUUGUUAAUAUUGUUAGAAUAUUCUAGAUGAUUAGAUAUACAUGGACGCUUUUAACGCGGUAUAAGAGAUACAUAACCAACAAUUAUUUUUAAUUUAAUUUGGAAUCGACAAUACCGGUUAUUUGCUUGAACCAAAGUUGGUCUGUUUUUAAUAUUUCGUUUGAAGCAUAUUAAAUAGCGUGUAUCCAUUAUUAUUGUAACACUUUAGAAAGGGCCCAAAACUAAAUGACAACUUUCAACGGUAGAUAAAAAUAGGACUCUAAAUUAAUAGAGUAGAUUUUUCCUAACUACUUGUUUGUCUAUUUCAGAAAAUCCGGUUCCCCGAAGAAAUAAAAAUUUCUUUUAUAAAUUUUGGUUGUACGGGUUUUUGGCUCCCACAUUUAGAUGCAUUAUCUUGUUUGUUUUCUAAAUUUAUUGGUCUAUUUGGAAUAGACAAAUUUAAAUACUUAAGACAAAUUUAGGUCCUAAUUAAAUAUAUUAAAUUAGGGGAAAACAUAAUUUUAGUUGGUGUAUAUCCCAGUCUUGAACCACUGCAACAAUACGACAUAAAAAGUGACCGUAUUUCUGACGAGUGAAAGUUUCAUGCAUAAAAUUAAUCAACCAAUUCAUUUUGUGUGUAUCUUCUUUCAACAAAACACGGUUUGACAAGUCAUGCUUCCAGAUGAUGCUCGAUUACGUUCAUCCAUUUUUUUUUGUUGUUGUUGAAAAUGUAAUAUUUCCCCCGUUCCAUUAAAUUUGUAAUUUUAGUAUUUUCACACAUUUUGAAAAUAAAGUUACAAUACUAACAAUAACCCUAAUUAAUGCAUAGUUUAUAAUAAAAUUGUUAUAUAUAGUUAUUGUCUUAAUUAAUAUGGAUAAAAUAGGCAAAAGCUAUAAAGAUACAUCAAACACACACAAAAUAUUAUCUUUAAAAUUUCCAAAACUACAACCUUCAUGAAACGGAAACAGUAUUAUAUAUAUAUAUAUAAAAAAAAGAGUGCGACAAAGUGAAUUUGAAAAUCCAAAGAGUUUGUUCUGUGAAACCGAAGAAGCGUAAUAGUAAUUGUGUAUGUAUAGAACAAUUUGGCUUUUCUAAUGCACAUAUUUUCAGAAUAUAUGUGUCAAGCCAUAUGUGGUUUCUGUAAGCGGAUCUAUGCAUGUACUUGAAAAGCAUUCAAAAUCAAAAAAAGGAAGAGGUUGGAGAUGCAAAAAUCAGCUGUACAUCAUGAAUCAGAUUUAAGUAUAGAAUCUGCUGUCAAGUAUACGGGUGAAAUGAUUAAAGAUGAGACAGAGCUAAAGACUUAAAGACGGGAUUAGCGAUCAAGUCAGCAUAAAUGCAGCAAUCACUUGAGAAAAAGAAUGCAGAGAUUCACUUUGGAGAAUGGAGAUCUUGUCUAGAAUGUUUAUUAAAAACUUAUAAACUUUAUGGAACUUACCAUUUUGGAGAUUUAGUAAAUAUCUUUUAGAAGGCUAGGUUAGCCGAUUGA